RNAcentral lists this ribosomal RNA (467 nucleotides) under uncultured bacterium. Its description in RNAcentral is "partial 16S ribosomal RNA". It matches the Rfam family "Bacterial small subunit ribosomal RNA", at positions 28 to 507 of the family's 1533-position model. The record is from RNAcentral.
GACGAACGCUGGCGGCGUGCUUAACACAUGCCAGUCGAACGGAAAGGCCUCAGCUUGCUGGGGUACUCGAGUGGCGAACGGGUGAGUAACACGUGGGUGAUCUGCCUUGCACUCUGGGAUAAGCUUGGGAAGCUGGGUCUAAUACCGGAUAUGAACUGCCUUUAGUGUGGUGGUUGGAAAGUUUUUUCGGUGCAAGAUGAGCUCGCGGCCUAUCAGCUUGUUGGUGGGGUAAUGGCCUACCAAGGCGUCGACGGGUAGCCGGCCUGAGAGGGUGUACGGCCACAUUGGGACUGAGAUACGGCCCAGACUCCUACGGGAGGCAGCAGUGGGGAAUAUUGCACAAUGGGCGGAAGCCUGAUGCAGCGACGCCGCGUGGGGGAUGACGGCCUUCGGGUUGUAAACUCCUUUCGACAGGGACGAAGCUUUUUGUGACGGUACCUGUAUAAGAAGCACCGGCUAACUACGUG